GCCUCGGUGGUGUAGUGGUAACGCGCGCCCCCAAUAUGGGUGAAGCGCUGGUUCAACUCCACCUAUGAUUUGAAGUU
This is a non-coding RNA of Parelaphostrongylus tenuis, 77 nucleotides long. NCBI's taxonomy places the organism in Eukaryota, Metazoa, Nematoda, Chromadorea, Rhabditida, Metastrongylidae. The record is from the annotation of a GenBank genome assembly.